UGGAAAAGUCAAGGAAUUUCGCUGGAAGUAGUUUGCAUCGCUGUUAUUAUAUUAACAUUUCUUUUUUUUUGUUGUUGUAUGAAGUCAUGAGAUUUUGCAAUUUGAUUAAACUCGCAACCCUGAUAUUGUAUGUUUUGCGAAGAAUCAGCUGGUAUCAUGAAUUUUUUUUCUUGAGAAGCACAUUGUAAUUCUGCCCCCUAAGUAUUGUAGUAAGGACCAAGGAAUGUGAAUUGACUAUUUUGUAAAAUGACAGUUAUUGGAAUGACAGUAGGGGUCAUUAUUAUUUUCUCCCCAUAUUUGCAAAAUGAAUAAUAUUCUUCCUACUUUUAAUCCAUUUAACCAUCUCACCGCAAAACUCAUUUAUCUGAAGUUAAUUUAGAACAGUUAUAGUAAACUGCGUUCUUCUCAGAUUUUUUUAUAAAAGCACUGUUAUAAUGAAAGUUGUCAUAACUCAUAUGCAUAAGUGAUAAUACCAAUUUCUCUUCUUUCUAUUUUCCCUGCAGAAGGUUUUGGUAAAGCCAGAACUGUCGAGCGGAAUUACAUCAAUGAGAAAGAUACGAAUCUCAGCGAAAGUUCGCCACUCCCUGAAAGGCGAGCUAAAAUACCUAAGACAGUUUACUCCCCUACCUUGUCAACUGCCGGUGCGGAUGAUACUGAAUCGGAUAACUCACCAUCUAAGAGUUAUUACCUAAGAGAUAGUCGAAGCCCUCUCUCCAAGACAAAGAAAUCCUCUGUUCUUAAUCUUUCUUUUGAAGGAGAUUCAUCGGUUUUUCCAAUGAGCUCAACAAGUUCUCCAGAUAAAUCGAGAAAAAAAAAGAGCAAAUACUUACUGUUAUUGCAUCUUAAUGUGUAACAGAAAUACCGUUGAAAUAGGUUCCUGAGUCAACCAAUAAUGGCAUUAUGUCAUAGUUGUAAUUUUUCAGAAUCCAGUCAGGUAUGUGAAAUAUUCUUCCGUGAGGCAUAUCCGGUUACAUUGGUGCAUCUGAAUUCCUCUUUAAAUCAGUAAGAGUUAAAGCAAUUUUGCUCUACGAAAACUAAUUUGAGAUGAGCUUUCUUUCUACUUAAAUAAAGAAUUUACAAUUCCAUAAUCGUUAUUGAUUACUCUGAUUUAUGUUUGCUAAUAAUUUCCUCUGCAUUUUCUCCACAGAGAAGCAGCCGUCCCCAGUGAUUAAGUAUCCGACACCUCCAUCUUUGGCACACAGUGUAAAGUCACCUUGCCAUCAGCAAAAUCGGGCAUUGCGGAAAUUAUUCCAAAACAAACAUCUAGAAACUUUAGGUAGUAACUAAAUAUUUAUUUUCAAUACGUUGUUCUUGUUUAUUCCUCUUCAUUAUUGUACAACUUUUAUGACACAAGGAAUGAAAUCCUUUUCUGUUUUUGCUCGGCACAAAUGGGUCAGUGGCACCCUGUUUUUAAUUUAUUUUUCUGAAAGUACGAGGUAAACUCAGCCGCUUCUAAGAAUUUUGCUAUAUUUUUUAUAACCUAAAUUGACAAAAAAAACCUUGUUUU
This 1507-nucleotide long non-coding RNA is filed under the name Bemisia tabaci. RNAcentral describes it as "lncRNA ENSSSA1UGG000522". Lineage: Eukaryota; Metazoa; Arthropoda; Insecta; Hemiptera; Aleyrodidae. The record is from RNAcentral.